RNAcentral lists this non-coding RNA (85 nucleotides) under bovine gut metagenome. Its description in RNAcentral is "Glycine riboswitch". It matches the Rfam family "Glycine riboswitch aptamer", at positions 9 to 86 of the family's 94-position model. From Rfam's summary of the family: This family represents the bacterial glycine riboswitch. Glycine riboswitches usually consist of two metabolite-binding aptamers domains with similar structures in tandem. The aptamers cooperatively bind glycine to regulate the expression of downstream genes. The record is from RNAcentral.
GAACUUUGGAGACGCCCGGGAAACCGGGGGCCGAAGGGGCAACGGGAAGACUUCCCGAAAUCUCUCAGGCAAAAGGACAAAGAAG